GACUGAAACUCAAAGGAAUUGACGGGGGCCCGCACAAGCGGUGGAGCAUGUGGUUUAAUUCGAAGCAACGCGAAGAACCUUACCAGGUCUUGACAUCCUCUGACAAUCCUAGAGAUAGGACGUCCCCUUCGGGGGCAGAGUGACAGGUGGUGCAUGGUUGUCGGCAGCUCGUGUCGUGAGAUGUUGGGUUAAGUCCCGCAACGAGCGCAACCCUUGAUCUUAGUUGCCAGCAUUCAGUUGGGCACUCUAAGGUGACUGCCGGUGACAAACCGGAGGAAGGUGGGGAUGACGUCAAAUCAUCAUGCCCCUUAUGACCUGGG
Molecule: ribosomal RNA, 320 nt
Filed under: Bacillus velezensis
Lineage: Bacteria; Bacillati; Bacillota; Bacilli; Caryophanales; Bacillaceae
Description: bacterial SSU rRNA
Rfam family: Bacterial small subunit ribosomal RNA
Source: RNAcentral